GACGAACGCUGGCGGCGUGCCUAAUACAUGCAAGUCGAACGCACAGUUUAUACCGUCUCUUGCUCCACCAUAUACUGUCAGUUGCGAACGUGUGAGUAACGCGUCGUUCACCUUCCUGUUAGCGGGCUAUAACUAUUGGUAACUAUAGCUAAUACCGCAUAAUAUUUAUUAUUGCAUUAUAAUUAAUUUAAAGUUGCAAUUGCACCACUACCAGAUUGCCCUGCGUUGUAUUAGGUAGUAGGUGAGGUAACGGCUCACCUAGGCGGAGAUACAUAGCCGACCUGAGAAGGGGAUAGGCCAAACCUGGACCGAGACACGGGCCAGAAUCCUACGGGAGGCAGCAGGAGGGAAUCUUCGGGAAUGGACGAAAGUCCGAACGAGGAACGGCGCGGGAGUGAAGAAGGUAUUCGGAUCGUAAAGGUCUGGUGGAAAGGAAGAAAGGGUGGGAGAGUGGAAAGUUCAAACAGUGACGGUAUCUAACCAGAAAGGGACGGCUAACUACGUG
RNAcentral lists this ribosomal RNA (505 nucleotides) under uncultured bacterium. RNAcentral describes it as "partial 16S ribosomal RNA". It matches the Rfam family "Bacterial small subunit ribosomal RNA", at positions 28 to 507 of the family's 1533-position model. The record is from RNAcentral.